Molecule: ribosomal RNA, 468 nt
Filed under: uncultured bacterium
Lineage: Bacteria
Description: partial 16S ribosomal RNA
Rfam family: Bacterial small subunit ribosomal RNA
Source: RNAcentral
GACGAACGCUGGCGGCGUGCUUAACACAUGCAAGUCGAACGGAAAGGCCCUGCUUUUGUGGUGUUCUCGAGUGGCGAACGGGUGAGUAACGCGGGAGUAACCUGCCCUUGACUUUGGGAUAACUUCGGGAAACUGGGGCUAAUACCGUAUAAGAGCUCCUGCGGCAUGGUGGGGGUUGGAAAGUUUCGGCGGUUGGGGAUGGACUCGCGGCUUAUCAGCUUGUUGGUGGGGUAGUGGCUUACCAAGGCUUUGACGGGUAGCCGGCCUGAGAGGGUGACCGGCCACAUUGGGACUGAGAUACGGCCCAGACUCCUACGGGAGGCAGAAGUGGGGAAUAUUGCACAAUGGGCGGAAGCCUGAUGCAGCAACGCCGCGUGCGGGAUGACGGCCUUCGGGUUGUAAACCGUUUUCGCCUGGGACGAAGUGUGAGUGACGGUAAUGGGUAAAGAAGCACCGGCUAACUACGUG